RNAcentral lists this ribosomal RNA (496 nucleotides) under uncultured bacterium. RNAcentral's name for it is "partial 16S ribosomal RNA". It matches the Rfam family "Bacterial small subunit ribosomal RNA", at positions 28 to 506 of the family's 1533-position model. The record is from RNAcentral.
GAUGAACGCUGGCGGCGUGCCUAAUACAUGCAAGUCGAGCGAACAGACGAGGAGCUUGCUCCUCUGACGUUAGCGGCGGACGGGUGAGUAACACGUGGAUAACCUACCUAUAAGACUGGGAUAACUUCGGGAAACCGGAGCUAAUACCGGAUAAUAUAUUGAACCGCAUGGUUCAAUAGUGAAAGACGGUUUUGCUGUCACUUAUAGAUGGAUCCGCGCCGCAUUAGCUAGUUGGUAAGGUAACGGCUUACCAAGGCAACGACGCGUAGCCGACCUGAGAGGGUGAUCGGCCACACUGGAACUGAGACACGGUCCAGGCUCCUACGGGAGGCAGCAGUAGGGAAUCUUCCGCAAUGGGCGAAAGCCUGACGGAGCAACGCCGCGUGAGUGAUGAAGGUCUUCGGAUCGUAAAACUCUGUUAUUAGGGAAGAACAAAUGUGUAAGUAACUAUGCACGUCUUGACGGUACCUAAUCAGAAAGCCACGGCUAACUACGU